Long non-coding RNA from Sycon ciliatum, 1038 nucleotides. RefSeq lists it as uncharacterized. The transcript has 2 exons. The record is from RefSeq and is a predicted model, not a curated record. Lineage: Eukaryota; Metazoa; Porifera; Calcarea; Leucosolenida; Sycettidae.
UCCACGAAAAAAUGAAACUUUGAUAGCCUGUAGAGUUUCGGGCGCUGAGUCGAAUGGUCUUGGUCCGAAGUCUCUACGACGAAGCGUUCUUGAGAUAUUUCACUUUGAAAUUGCAAAAACGGGGGCCGCGCCCUGACGUCAUGCGGCCAUUUGGUUACAUCAUCACGGGCUGCCUACGUCAUUGUGGCAAAGUCGUUUCUCUUCGCCAGUCUACAAGCACUAAUUUUAGUUGGUAUUUCAAGGGAAGAUGGGCGAUUCCGAACAAUCCUCUGUCCCCAGCUAUGAAGUCAGCGAUGCUGAGGCCAGUGAGGACGACCAACAGCCCACCGCCGCGUAUGGUUGGGGCAGGGAGCCCAGAUACUCUGCUGAGGAGCUGCCAUCGCGUGGAACAAAUGUGGAGGAAGAAGAUGCGUCAGCAGCUGCGUCCGACAGAAGACGAGUAGCUUGGCCACCAGAAUCUCGAUUCGUUUGGGACUCCGACUGGUGCGAGCGUGGACAAAAGUGUAUAGCCAUGCCCAGCCCGCGGGAAUGAUUUUGCUGGUAGGAUGCUGCCGUCGCUGUCGACAAGACGGCCCAAGGUUUCUUGCGUAGCGGACCUCGCAGAUUACGAGAUCGUAUCCUUGCAUUAGGCUGUGCUCAUCACUGCUCUUCGAGGUUAUCUCGACAUGCAGAAGCCGCCAAUGCCAGUGACAGAAGAGUCUGACAUUAGAUCUCUACGCUAUGCGGCACACAGGCAGCACACACUAUGUACACGGCAAAUUGGGCAAGCACGUUCGUUGUCGUCUUCCAGCCUGCGUUGUGAAUACCAUCAGGCAAAGAUAUCCAAAUCCUGCACCACCUCAGCCUUCUCAGGAGGCUUCCACCUGGAAUUUGGCAGGGAAACACGCUUCUCCAAGGCAGGAACAUGGAGGUUGCCAUUUGCAACCGCUACCACUUCACACAUGAGCUUGUCAACAUACUCAUAGCUCUUUCUGUCGUAUAAUUUUCUAUUUGGCCACAGUCUUCUUUAUGCUUUGAGAACUGGACUUUAUACCUUCC